RNAcentral lists this ribosomal RNA (253 nucleotides) under uncultured bacterium. RNAcentral describes it as "partial 16S ribosomal RNA". It matches the Rfam family "Bacterial small subunit ribosomal RNA", at positions 524 to 776 of the family's 1533-position model. The record is from RNAcentral.
UACGUAGGGGGCAAGCGUUGUCCGGAUUUAUUGGGCGUAAAGAGCGUGUAGGCGGCCUGAAAGGUCAGCUGUGAAAACUCGAGGCUCAACCUCGAGACGUCGGUUGAAACCAUCUGGCUAGAGUCCGGAAGAGGAGAGUGGAAUUCCCGGUGUAGCGGUGAAAUGCGCAGAUAUCGGGAAGAACACCCGUGGCGAAGGCGGCUCUCUGGGACGGUACUGACGCUGAGACGCGAAAGCGUGGGGAUCGAACAGG